CCUACGGGUGGCAGCAGUAGGGAAUCUUUCACAAUGGGCGAAAGCCUGAUGGAGCAACGCCGCGUGCAGGAUGAAGGCCUUCGGGUUGUAAACUGCUUUUAUAAGCGAGAAAUAUGAUGGUAACUUAUGAAUAAGGAUCGGCUAACUACGUGCCAGCUGCCGCGGUCACACGUAGGAGCCGAGCAUUAUCCGGAGUGACUGGGGGUAAAGAGUUGCGUAGGUGGCAUAAUAAGUAGCUAGUGAAAUCUGGUGGGUCAAACAUUCAGACUAUUAGCUAAACUGUUAAGCUCGAGACCGUUAGAGGUAAGUGGAAUUUGUGGUGUAGGAGUGAAAUGCGUAGAUAUUAGGAGGAACACCGAUAGCGUAGGCAGGUUGCUGGGACGGUUCUGACACUAAGGCACGAAAGCGUAGGGAGCAAACGGGAUUAGAUACCCGUGUAGUC
RNAcentral lists this ribosomal RNA (442 nucleotides) under uncultured bacterium. RNAcentral's name for it is "partial 16S ribosomal RNA". It matches the Rfam family "Bacterial small subunit ribosomal RNA", at positions 338 to 795 of the family's 1533-position model. The record is from RNAcentral.